This 460-nucleotide ribosomal RNA is filed under the name uncultured bacterium. RNAcentral describes it as "partial 16S ribosomal RNA". It matches the Rfam family "Bacterial small subunit ribosomal RNA", at positions 338 to 795 of the family's 1533-position model. The record is from RNAcentral.
CCUACGGGCGGCAGCAGUGAGGAAUAUUGGUCAAUGGACGAGAGUCUGAACCAGCCAAGUAGCGUGAAGGAUGACUGCCCUAUGGGUUGUAAACUUUUUUUAUAAAGGAAUAAAACGAGGCACGUGUGCCUUUUUGCAUGUACUUUAUGAAUAAGGAUCGGCUAACUCCGUGCCAGCAGCCGCGGUAAUACGGAGGAUCCGAGCGUUAUCCGGAUUUAUUGGGUUUAAAGGGAGCGUAGAUGGGUUGUUAAGUCAGUUGUGAAAGUUUGCGGCUCAACCGUAAAAUCGCAAUUGAUACUGGCAGUCGUGAGUACAGUUGAGGUAGGCGGAAUUCGUGGUGUAGCGGUGAAAUGCUUAGAUAUCACGAAGAACCCCGAUUGCGAAGGCAGCUUACUAAACUGUGACUGACAUUGAUGCUCGAAAGUGUGGGUAUCAAACAGGAUUAGAUACCCCAGUAGUC